UGAUGGCCAGAAAUGUCAUGCCUCUCGAGCGAACAGACAAGGAGCUUGACUCCUUUGACGUUAGCGGCGGACGGGUGAGUAACACGUGGGUAACCUACCUAUAAGACUGGGAUAACUUCGGGAAACCGGAGCUAAUACCGGAUAAUAUUUCGAACCGCAUGGUUCGAUAGUGAAAGAUGGUUUUGCUAUCACUUAUAGAUGGACCCGCGCCGUAUUAGCUAGUUGGUAAGGUAACGGCUUACCAAGGCGACGAUACGUAGCCGACCUGAGAGGGUGAUCGGCCACACUGGAACUGAGACACGGUCCAGACUCCUACGGGAGGCAGCAGUAGGGAAUCUUCCGCAAUGGGCGAAAGCCUGACGGAGCAACGCCGCGUGAGUGAUGAAGGUCUUCGGAUCGUAAAACUCUGUUAUUAGGGAAGAACAUACGUGUAAGUAACUAUGCACGUCUUGACGGUACCUAAUCAGAAAGCCACGGCUAACUACGUGCCAGCAGCCGCGGUAAUACGUAGGUGGCAAGCGUUAUCCGGAAUUAUUGGGCGUAAAGCGCGCGUAGGCGGUUUUUUAAGUCUGAUGUGAAAGCCCACGGCUCAACCGUGGAGGGUCAUUGGAAACUGUAAAACUUGAGUGCAGAAGAGGAAAGUGGAAUUCCAUGUGUAGCGGUGAAAUGCGCAGAGAUAUGGAGGAACACCAGUGGCGAAGGCGACUUUCUGGUCUGUAACUGACGCUGAUGUGCGAAAGCGUGGGGAUCAAACAGGAUUAGAUACCCUGGUAGUCCACGCCGUAAACGAUGAGUGCUAAGUGUUAGGGGGUUUCCGCCCCUUAGUGCUGCAGCUAACGCAUUAAGCACUCCGCCUGGGAGUACGACCGCAAGUUUGAAACUCAAAGGAAUUGACGGGGACCCGCACAAGCGGUGGAGCAUGUGUUUAAUUCGAAGCAACCGCGAAGAACCUUACCAAAUCUGACAUCCUUUGACAACUCUAGAGAUAGAGCCUUCCCCUUCGGGGGAACAAAGUUGACAGGUGGUGCAUGCUGUCGUCAGCUCUGUCUUGAGAAAUGUAGGCUAGGUCCCGCCACGGAGCGCCACCUUAAGCUUAGUCGCCAUCAUUAGUGGCCACUCCUAAGUGACCUGCGGUGACAACCGGAGAGUGGAUACGUCAAUCAUCAUUGCCCUUUAGAUUGGCUCACACGCUCUCAAUGCACAAUACAAGGCACGAGAUCCCGCCUAGU
This 1229-nucleotide ribosomal RNA is filed under the name Staphylococcus haemolyticus. RNAcentral describes it as "bacterial SSU rRNA". It matches the Rfam family "Bacterial small subunit ribosomal RNA", at positions 37 to 1263 of the family's 1533-position model. The record is from RNAcentral. Lineage: Bacteria; Bacillati; Bacillota; Bacilli; Caryophanales; Staphylococcaceae.